AGAUUUUCUAGGUGAAUCAUCAGUCUUUUUAGGAAAAAGAAGGUUCAGAAUUCAUUGCUAGAACGUCUUCACUAUUAUAGUUAGUGCCAUAUUGAAAAACAGAAAAAGUAACAGAACACACAAAUUCCUUAAAAGACUGAUGAUUCACCUAGAAAAUCUCCCCACCAAACCAUGAAUAGCACUAGUGUCGAGCAAAAACGUUUCAAUAUGGAUUCACUGAGAUUUUAGAAACAGGAAAGUACAGAAGAGGCUGUCAUCCGAGAGGCCACAAAGUACAUAAUAAAGUUGUUAAAAUCUCAACCAUGAGGCUGAUGAUUUUCACUCUUCCAUUGCAUCACCCCCUUCAAUAACUACCUCUUUAUCCUUCAAUGGCGUAAUCUUUGUUAUAAGGACCUCAGUUUUCUUUGGAAAAGUGUACCCUCUUGAACUGAUAUAGGUACGUGGAUUUGGUAACAUGUGGUUCCUCAGAUAUUCCUUAUGUCCCUUUGUUAUAACACAAACAUCAACAUUGCUUCCACUUCCUAAGUCAUUGAAUACACCAGAGCAUAUUGCUUCACAUACAAGCUUUAUACCUUCAUCCCUAUUCAAGCCUUCUCUGUACUUUGAUUCAAAAAUAGCCAUUGCAGCAAGAGAACCAGAACCCAUUGUAGCAAACGGCAAUGUGUCAGUUGAUCCAUGGGGAUAUAUAGUAUGUAAAUGAGGCCCAGUGCAAUCAACCCCACCAAGAACCAAAGCAGCUGAGACAUAACCUUGGUAGUUGAAAAGAUGCUUCUUAAGAAGAGU
RNAcentral lists this unclassified non-coding RNA (783 nucleotides) under Hevea brasiliensis (rubber tree). Lineage: Eukaryota; Viridiplantae; Streptophyta; Magnoliopsida; Malpighiales; Euphorbiaceae. The record is from RNAcentral.